Molecule: long non-coding RNA, 412 nt
Filed under: Equus asinus (donkey)
Lineage: Eukaryota; Metazoa; Chordata; Mammalia; Perissodactyla; Equidae
Description: lncRNA (ENSEASG00005032303.1)
Source: RNAcentral
AUCUGAUGCCCCUUCCUGGAGAGAGACUUCGGUGAGAGACUGGGGGCUUGGAGGUCCAUGCCGGAAAGCACUGGGGAGCUGGCUAGGACACAAGCUCAGGAUGUCUCUGUAGUGGCAAAGUUUGAAAUGGGAAAAGUGAUCCAGCAUCUUAAGAAGCUGAGUCAAAAAGCCAAGCCUCUCACCUAAGCAGUGAUUUUUAAGAGGAAUGAAACGGGACUGGAUGCAAGUUUCAGAAGGACAAUUCUGGCAUUGAUUCCUGGAGGGCACUGGUAUGAGUAUUGAGAAGGCUGUUUUCAUGCCACCCCAAGUCACGAUAUGUGCAGCGCGUUUCAUCCAUCUCUACUCAGAAGUCCCAGAAUUGUGUGUGUAUGAAUCACUUGAAGCCUGUUAUUUUUUGAGUCACUAAGCCAGC